This 497-nucleotide ribosomal RNA is filed under the name uncultured bacterium. Its description in RNAcentral is "partial 16S ribosomal RNA". It matches the Rfam family "Bacterial small subunit ribosomal RNA", at positions 28 to 507 of the family's 1533-position model. The record is from RNAcentral.
GAUGAACGCUGGCGGCGUGCCUAAUACAUGCAAGUCGAGCGAACGGACGAGAAGCUUGCUUUUCUGAUGUUAGCGGCGGACGGGUGAGUAACACGUGGAUAACCUACCUAUAAGACUGGGAUAACUUCGGGAAACCGGAGCUAAUACCGGAUAAUCUUUUGAACCGCAUGGUUCAAAAGUGAAAGACGGUCUUGCUGUCACUUAUAGAUGGAUCCGCGCUGCAUUAGCUAGUUGGUAAGGUAACGGCUUACCACGGCAACGAUGCAUAGCCGACCUGAGAGGGUGAUAGGCCACACUGGAACUGAGACACGGUCCAGACUCCUACGGGAGGCAGCAGUAGGGAAUCUUCCGCAAUGGGCGAAAGCCUGACGGAGCAACGCCGCGUGAGUGAUGUAGGUCUUCGGAUCGUAAAACUCUGUUAUUAGGGAAGAACAUAUGUGUAAGUAACUGUGCACAUCUUGACGGUACCUAAUCAGAAAGCCACGGCUAACUACGUG